This 1608-nucleotide long non-coding RNA is filed under the name Mytilus galloprovincialis (Mediterranean mussel). The record is from RNAcentral. Lineage: Eukaryota; Metazoa; Mollusca; Bivalvia; Mytilida; Mytilidae.
UUGAAUAAUAUUGUAGAUAGAGAUAAACUGUAAACAGCAAUAAUUUUCAGCAAAGUAAGAUCUACUAAUAAGUUAAAAGACCAAAAUGGUCUCAAUUGAUCCCCUCAGGAGUUAUUGGCCUUUAUUUACCAAUUUUUUUAAAUUUGUGUAAUCUUUUACAAAAAUCUUCUCCUCUGAACCUACUAAGACAAAAUAUAACCAAAUUUGUCCGCAAUCAUCAUCAGAGUAUCUUCUUUAAAAAAUAUGUCCGAUGACCCUACCCGCAAACCAAGAUUGCAGACAUGGCUUAAAAUAGUACAUAGGGUAAAAUGCAGUUUUUGGUUUAUAUUUCUUAAACUGAAGCAUUUACAGCAAAUCUGACUGGUGGCAAAAUGUUUAUCAGAUUUAGAUAUAUCUGCCCUGAAAUUUUCAGACAAAUCCGACAACCAGUUGUUGGUUGCUGCCCCUGAAUAAGUAAUUUUAUGGAAAUUUUGCAAUUUUUUGCUAUUAUCUUAGAUAUUAUAAUAGUAUCUAAUGAUAUCUCAUACUAUAAAUUAUGAUUUUAACCUUAUUUUACAUGAUUUCCAAAGCAUCAGUAAAUACAGGUAAGCGACACAGGCUCUUUAGAGCCUCUAGUUUAUAACAAAACAUAAACACGAAUACUUGGCCUUUAUAUCCUAUACAGGAAUAUAUUCUUGCUUUAUCUUUUGAAUUCAAGAUUAAAAGUUGUAUUAGCAUUUUGUCUUAGAGGCCGCGAAUAAGGGCUAAAACAUGUAUUUCAUUGAAGACAACAUGUAUCAUUCCAAUUGGUCUUUUUAAUGUGUUUUUUUUUUUUUUAUUUCUCUUUGAAUAAUAAACCUGUAUCAUUUGUAUUACCAAAAGAUUUGUUAAACGUGAAACAAUGCAAAUAUCAACUAGUGUGGGCUUAUAGUAUGCGUUAAUACCCAGAGACUGAAAUCAAGUUAAACACCCAAAUAAUGGGGCAAUACAUACUCUUGUAUAUAAUAGUAUCUUAUCUGGGAGUUGUCAUUUAUUUUGUCUGAAAUGGUACUCGUAUAACACAUUAUAUGCCUUAAUGUUUGAAUAUUUGAAUGUCUGAUUAUAAAAAGGUAGAUUUGGUAUGAUUGGCAAUAAGACAACUCUUCACAAAAGACCAAAUGACACAUAAAUUAACAACUAUAGGUCACCGUACGGCCUUUAACAAUGAGCAAAGCCCAUACCACAAAGUUAGCUGUAAAAGGUGCCGAGAUGACAAUGUAAAACAAUUCAAUCGAGAAAACUAACGGCCUUAUUUAUGUACAUAAACGAACGAAAAACAUAUGUAACACAUAAACAAACGACAACCACUGAAUAAAUGCUUCUGACUUGGGACAGGUACAUAUUAGAGAAUGUGGCGUGGUUAAACAUGUUCGCGGGAUCCCCAACCUCCCCUAAACUGGGACAGUGGUGUAACAGUACAACAUAAAUCGAACUAAAAAAAUAUGUUGAAAAAGGCUUAACUCGUCAGAUCAUGGAUAAAAAUAUAAAUACAAGUGAAUGUGGCCGGGUACUUGUACAUCCCAACAACAAAAAGACACUAAGUACAGAUCUGAGAGUACUCAAAGUUACUGAUAGCUAGUUCAAAGCCAC